GCCCCAGGCCCGUGGGGCUGGAGCGCGUGAACCCCGUCAGGACCGUGAAGGUAGCAGCGGUAAGCGUGUGAAGGUCGCCACGGUUCGCCUGGGGUGUG
RNAcentral lists this signal recognition particle RNA (98 nucleotides) under Gemmatimonadota bacterium. Its description in RNAcentral is "Gemmatimonadetes bacterium (beach sand metagenome) signal recognition particle sRNA small type". It matches the Rfam family "Bacterial small signal recognition particle RNA". Rfam says of the family: The signal recognition particle (SRP) is a universally conserved ribonucleoprotein involved in the co-translational targeting of proteins to membranes. Archaeal SRP consists of a 7S RNA and homologues of the eukaryotic SRP19 and SRP54 proteins. The record is from RNAcentral. Lineage: Bacteria; Pseudomonadati; Gemmatimonadota.